UAAUUCGAUGCAACGCGAAGAACCUUACCUACUCUUGACAUCCAGAGAACUUAGCAGAGAUGCUUUGGUGCCUUCGGGAACUCUGAGACAGGUGCUGCAUGGCUGUCGUCAGCUCGUGUUGUGAAAUGUUGGGUUAAGUCCCGCAACGAGCGCAACCCUUAUCCUUUGUUGCCAGCGAUUCGGUCGGGAACUCAAAGGAGACUGCCGGUGAUAAACCGGAGGAAGGUGGGGAUGACGUCAAGUCAUCAUGGCCCUUACGAGUAGGGCUACACACGUGCUACAAUGGCGUAUACAAAGAGAAGCGACCUCGCGAGAGCAAGCGGAACUCAUAAAGUACGUCGUAGUCCGGAUUGGAGUCUGCAACUCGACUCCAUGAAGUCGGAAUCGCUAGUAAUCGUAGAUCAGAAUGCUACGGUGAAUACGUUCCCGGGCCUUGUACACACCGCCCGUCACACCAUGGGAGUGGGUUGCAAAAGAAGUAGGUAGCUUAACCUUCGGGAGGGCGCUUACCACUUUGUGAUUCAUGACUGGGGUGAAGUCGUAACAAGGUAACCGUAGGGGAACCUGCGGUUGGAUCACCUCCUUA
This 586-nucleotide ribosomal RNA is filed under the name Providencia stuartii. RNAcentral's name for it is "bacterial SSU rRNA". It matches the Rfam family "Bacterial small subunit ribosomal RNA", at positions 947 to 1533 of the family's 1533-position model. The record is from RNAcentral. Lineage: Bacteria; Pseudomonadati; Pseudomonadota; Gammaproteobacteria; Enterobacterales; Morganellaceae.